This 774-nucleotide ribosomal RNA is filed under the name uncultured Neocallimastigales. RNAcentral's name for it is "partial large subunit ribosomal RNA". It matches the Rfam family "Eukaryotic large subunit ribosomal RNA", at positions 22 to 621 of the family's 3401-position model. Lineage: Eukaryota; Fungi; Neocallimastigomycota; Neocallimastigomycetes; Neocallimastigales. The record is from RNAcentral.
AUAUCAGUCAUGCAUAGCAUAUCAAUAAGCGGAGGAAAAGAAACUAACAAGGAUUCCCUUAGUAACGGCGAGUGAAGCGGGAAGAGCUCAAAUUUGAAGUCUUCAAGGUUUUACCUUGACGAAUUGUAGUUUAAAGAAGUGUUUUCUGUUGAAGUUUUGGUAAAAGUUCUUUGGAAUAGGACAUCAUAGAGGGUGAGAAUCCCGUAUUUGACCAUUACUUUCAGCUUUGUGAUACACUUUCAAAGAGUCGGAUUGUUUGGGAAUGCAGUCCAAAAUGGGUGGUAAAUUUCAUCUAAAGCUAAAUAUUGGCGAGAGACCGAUAGCGAACAAGUACCGUGAGGGAAAGAUGAAAAGAACUUUGAAAAGAGAGUUAAACAGUACGUGAAAUUGUCAAAAGGGAAGCGUUUGACACCAGUGUUGUUUUCUCGAAAAUCAAUUAAAAAGAGUUGGAUUUUGUGUAGUAUUGACUUUAUCAGCUUUCUUCACUCUUUUCCAGCUUUUUUUAAUGCACUUUUCGUUUAACAAGUCAACAUCAGUUUCUUUUGUUGUAAAAAGGUCAUUGGAAGGUGGCUUUCUCUUCGGAGAAAGUGUUUAUAGCCUUUGACUCAUGCAAUCGGAGAGACUGAGGUCUGCAGCGUAGAUCCUUCGGGGUUAGAUACAUUUGUGCUAGGUUAUAGCUUUUCAUAGACAACUUGUUGACUAUGUUUAGUCUUGUAGCUUACUCGCUUAUGCUAUUUUACCUACGCUUAGGAUGUUGAACUCUAUCACACACAG